This 411-nucleotide ribosomal RNA is filed under the name Verrucomicrobiota bacterium. RNAcentral describes it as "Verrucomicrobia bacterium partial 16S ribosomal RNA". It matches the Rfam family "Bacterial small subunit ribosomal RNA", at positions 355 to 776 of the family's 1533-position model. Lineage: Bacteria; Pseudomonadati; Verrucomicrobiota. The record is from RNAcentral.
UGGGGAAUAUUGCGCAAUGGGGGAAACCCUGACGCAGCGACGCCGCGUGCGGGAUGAAGGCCUUCGGGUUGUAAACCGCUUUUGAUUGGGAGCAAGCCUUUUGGGUGAGUGUACCUUUCGAAUAAGCGCCGGCUAACUACGUGCCAGCAGCCGCGGUAAUACGUAGGGGGCUAGCGUUAUCCGGAUUUACUGGGCGUAAAGGGUGCGUAGGUGGUCUUUCAAGUCGGUGGUUAAAGGCUACGGCUCAACCGUAGUUAGCCUCCGAAACUGGAAGACUUGAGUGCAGGAGAGGAAAGUGGAAUUCCCAGGGUAGCGGUGAAAUGCGUAGAUAUUGGGAGGAACACCAGUAGCGAAGGCGGCUUUCUGGACUGCAACUGACACUGAGGCACGAAAGCGUGGGUAGCAAACAGG